This 337-nucleotide unclassified non-coding RNA is filed under the name soil metagenome. Its description in RNAcentral is "partial contains 5.8S ribosomal RNA, internal transcribed spacer 2, and large subunit ribosomal RNA". The stretch from base 1 to 120 matches the Rfam family "5.8S ribosomal RNA", at positions 35 to 154 of the family's 154-position model. The record is from RNAcentral.
GAUGAAGAACGUAGCGAAAUGCGAUAAGUAAUGUGAAUUGCAGAAUUCAGUGAAUCAUCGAAUCUUUGAACGCACAUUGCGCCCGCCAGUAUUCUGGCGGGCAUGCCUGUUCGAGCGUCAUUUCUGCCCUCAAGCACGGCUUGUGUGUUGGGUGUGGUCCCCCCGGGGACCUGCCCGAAAGGCAGCGGCGACGUCCGUCUGGUCCUCGAGCGUAUGGGGCUCUGUCACUCGCUCGGGAAGGACCUGCGGGGGUUGGUCACCACUAUAUUUUACCACGGUUGACCUCGGAUCAGGUAGGAGUUACCCGCUGAACUUAAGCAUAUCAAUAAGCGGAGGA